CCGAUUCAGUCAUUGGGGAGUAGCCUGUUCCGGACAGUUUCUGGAAAAUUCGUAUCAACAUACUCGUUUAAAAUAAAACGUGGUGCGAAUGCCUAAAGAGCCAAGCAAGAAGGCUCUGAAUGGU
RNAcentral lists this small RNA (124 nucleotides) under Xenorhabdus khoisanae. RNAcentral's name for it is "Manganese sequence". It matches the Rfam family "Manganese Mn2+ riboswitch aptamer (yybP-ykoY)". Rfam says of the family: This RNA was originally discovered in E. coli during a large scale screen and was named SraF. The family was later found to exist upstream of related families of protein genes in many bacteria, including the the yybP and ykoK genes in B. subtilis. Lineage: Bacteria; Pseudomonadati; Pseudomonadota; Gammaproteobacteria; Enterobacterales; Morganellaceae. The record is from RNAcentral.